CAGUCGCCACGGUAAAACGGAGGGGGCUAGCGUUGUUCGGAAUUACUGGGCGUAAAGCGCACGUAGGCGGCUUGGUAAGUUAGAGGUGAAAGCCCGGAGCUCAACUCCGGAAUUGCCUUUAAGACUGCCGAGCUAGCAGGUGAGAGAGGUAAGUGGAAUUCCGAGUGUAGAGGUGAAAUUCGUAGAUAUUCGGAAGAACACCAGUGGCGAAGGCGGCUUACUGGCUCAUACUGGACGCUGAGGUGCGAAAGCGUGGGGAGCAAACAGGAUUAGAUACCCCUGUAGUCCCUGUCUCUUAUAA
This 301-nucleotide ribosomal RNA is filed under the name uncultured bacterium. RNAcentral's name for it is "partial 16S ribosomal RNA". It matches the Rfam family "Bacterial small subunit ribosomal RNA", at positions 509 to 809 of the family's 1533-position model. The record is from RNAcentral.